CGACGAUCAGUAGCCGACCUGAGAGGGUGACCGGCCACAUUGGGACUGAGACACGGCCCAAACUCCUACGGGAGGCAGCAGUGGGGAAUAUUGCACAAUGGGGGAAACCCUGAUGCAGCGACGCCGCGUGAGCGAUGAAGUAUUUCGGUAUGUAAAGCUCUAUCAGCAGGGAAGAAAAUGACGGUACCUGACUAAGAAGCCCCGGCUAACUACGUGCCAGCAGCCGCGGUAAUACGUAGGGGGCAAGCGUUAUCCGGAUUUACUGGGUGUAAAGGGAGCGUAGACGGCAUGGCAAGCCAGAUGUGAAAGCCCGGGGCUCAACCCCGGGACUGCAUUUGGAACUGUCAGGCUAGAGUGUCGGAGAGGAAAGCGGAAUUCCUAGUGUAGCGGUGAAAUGCGUAGAUAUUAGGAGGAACACCAGUGGCGAAGGCGGCUUUCUGGACGAUGACUGACGUUGAGGCUCGAAAGCGUGGGGAGCAAACAGGAUUAGAUACCCUGGUAGUCCACGC
Molecule: ribosomal RNA, 509 nt
Filed under: Mediterraneibacter gnavus
Lineage: Bacteria; Bacillati; Bacillota; Clostridia; Lachnospirales; Lachnospiraceae
Description: bacterial SSU rRNA
Rfam family: Bacterial small subunit ribosomal RNA
Source: RNAcentral